UACGGGGGGGGAACCGAAGAACCUUACCUGGUCUUGACAUCCACAGAACUUUCCAGAGAUGGAUUGGUGCCUUCGGGAACUGUGAGACAGGUGGUGCAUGGCUGUUGUCAGCUUGUGUUGUGAAAUGUUGGGUUAAGUCCCGCAACGAGCGCAACCCUUAUCCUUUGUUGCCAGCGGUUCGGCCGGGAACUCAAAGGAGACUGCCAGUGAUAAACUGGAGGAAGGUGGGGAUGACGUCAAGUCAUCAUGGCCCUUACGACCAGGGCUACACACGUGCUACAAUGGCGCAUACAAAGAGAAGCAAUCUCGCGAGAGCUAGCGGACCUCAUAAAGUGCGUCGUAGUCCGGAUUGGAGUCUGCAACUCGACUCCGAUGAAGUCUGGAAUCGCUAGUAAUCGUGAAUCAGCAGUCGUCCGA
This 417-nucleotide ribosomal RNA is filed under the name uncultured Kosakonia sp. RNAcentral describes it as "bacterial SSU rRNA". It matches the Rfam family "Bacterial small subunit ribosomal RNA", at positions 950 to 1362 of the family's 1533-position model. Lineage: Bacteria; Pseudomonadati; Pseudomonadota; Gammaproteobacteria; Enterobacterales; Enterobacteriaceae. The record is from RNAcentral.